GCCGGGGUGGCGAAAUGGCAGACGCGAUGGAUUCAAAAUCCAUUUCCCGCAAGGGAGUCGGGGUUCAAGUCCCCGCCUCGGCACCA
This 86-nucleotide transfer RNA is filed under the name Planctomycetota bacterium. RNAcentral's name for it is "Planctomycetes bacterium (groundwater metagenome) tRNA-Leu". It matches the Rfam family "tRNA". From Rfam's summary of the family: Transfer RNA (tRNA) molecules are approximately 80 nucleotides in length. Their secondary structure includes four short double-helical elements and three loops (D, anti-codon, and T loops). RNAcentral also lists the same sequence under 1 other name. Lineage: Bacteria; Pseudomonadati; Planctomycetota. The record is from RNAcentral.